GUGGGGAAUAUUGGACAAUGGGGGCAACCCUGAUCCAGCAAUGCCGCGUGUGUGAAGAAGGCCUGAGGGUUGUAAAGCACUUUCAGUGGGGAGGAGGAUUGACAGGUUAAGAGCUAGUUAAUUGGACGUUACCCACAGAAGAAGCACCGGCUAACUCCGUGCCAGCAGCCGCGGUAAUACGGAGGGUGCAAGCGUUAAGCGGAAUUACUGGGCGUAAAGGGUGCGUAGGUGGUUGUAUAAGUUAACUGUGAAAUCCCCGAGCUCAACCUGGGCAGGUCAGUUAAGACUGUAUGACUCGAGUAUGGGAGAGGGUAGUGGAAUUUCCGGUGUAGCGGUGAAAUGCGUAGAGAUCGGAAGGAACACCAGUGGCGAAGGCGGCUACCUGGCCCAAUACUGACACUGAGGCACGAAAGCGUGGGGAGCAAACAGGAUUAGAUACCCUAGUAGUCC
This 450-nucleotide ribosomal RNA is filed under the name uncultured bacterium. RNAcentral describes it as "partial 16S ribosomal RNA". It matches the Rfam family "Bacterial small subunit ribosomal RNA", at positions 354 to 796 of the family's 1533-position model. The record is from RNAcentral.